This 496-nucleotide ribosomal RNA is filed under the name uncultured bacterium. RNAcentral's name for it is "partial 16S ribosomal RNA". It matches the Rfam family "Bacterial small subunit ribosomal RNA", at positions 29 to 507 of the family's 1533-position model. The record is from RNAcentral.
AUGAACGCUGGCGGCGUGCCUAAUACAUGCAAGUAGAACGCUGAAGGAAGGAGCUUGCUCUUUCCGGAUGAGUUGCGAACGGGUGAGUAACGCGUAGGUAACCUGCCUGGUAGCGGGGGAUAACUAUUGGAAACGAUAGCUAAUACCGCAUAACAGUAGAUGUUGCAUGAUAUCUACUUAAAAGGUGCAAUUGCACCACUACCAGAUGGACCUGCGUUGUAUUAGCUAGUUGGUGAGGUAACGGCUCACCAAGGCGACGAUACAUAGCCGACCUGAGAGGGUGAUCGGCCACACUGGGACUGAGACACGGCCCAGACUCCUACGGGAGGCAGCAGUAGGGAAUCUUCGGCAAUGGGCGGAAGUCUGACCGAGCAACGCCGCGUGAGUGAAGAAGGUUUUCGGAUCGUAAAGCUCUGUUGUAAGAGAAGAACGAGUGUGAGAGUGGAAAGUUCACACUGUGACGGUAUCUUACCAGAAAGGGACGGCUAACUACGUG